RNAcentral lists this ribosomal RNA (1378 nucleotides) under Pervetustus simplex. RNAcentral describes it as "eukaryotic LSU rRNA". The stretch from base 586 to 1378 matches the Rfam family "Eukaryotic large subunit ribosomal RNA", at positions 1 to 694 of the family's 3401-position model. Lineage: Eukaryota; Fungi; Glomeromycota; Glomeromycetes; Paraglomerales; Pervetustaceae. The record is from RNAcentral.
CCCGUCGCUACUACCGAUUGAAUGUCUUAGUGAGGUCUUCGGAUUGGCUCGUUGCUGCGGCUCGUCCGCGGGCAGCAGGCCGAGAAGUUGAUCAAACUUGGGCAUUUAGAGGAAGUAAAAGUCGUAACAAGGUUUCCGUAGGUGAACCUGCGGAAGGAUCAUCAACAAAAGGGAAAAAUGCGUGGCGGGCGCAAGUCCGUUUCACGUUCAUUCCCGAAAAUCCUGUAUUCACCCCAAGUUCCUUAAAAAUUUUAAUAAAAAACUCUGCAAAAGACCACCUAUGAUCGGGUGGCAUCUAAUGCAAAAGCGAAAACUUUCAACAACGGAUCUCUUGGCUCUCGCAUCGAUGAAGAACGCAGCGAAAUGCGAUAAGUAGUGUGAAUUGCAGACUAGAGUGAAUCAUCGAAUUUUUGAACGCAUAUUGCGCUCUCUGGUAAUUCCGGGGAGCAUGCUUGGCUGAGGGCCUGUAAAACAAAUCUCCGGANGGGGCAACCUUCUGGUGGUCGAUGGGUGUCAAUCCNAUGAAUCUCUUGUGGGAACGAAUCGGUCACCUGAAAUAAUUGGCUCCGCUGGAUCGCGGGAUCGUGCAGUAAAGNNAUAAUGGAAGAGCGGUAACACGCCCUUNNAGUGAAGCGGGAAGAGCUCAAAUUUUAAAUCAGUGCGCCAUCCNGGCGCAUCGAGUUGUAGUUUGAAGAGGCGUCUUCGCGUUCGUAACCGGCACAAGUCCUCUGGUACGAGGCGUCGUAGAGGGUGACAACCCCGUCCACGGCCGGUGCANNGGAUGCGUACGAUACGACCUCUAAGAGUCGAGUAGUUUGGGAUUGCUGCUCUAAACGGGUGGUAGACUCCAUCUAAGGCUAAAUAAAGGCGAGAGACCGAUAGCGAACAAGUACCGUGAGGGAAAGAUGAAAAGAACUCUGGAGAGAGAGUUAAAAGUACGUGAAAUUGUUGAAAGGGAAACGCUUGAAGCCAGUCGUGUCGGUGGAAUAUCAACGGUGUGCGGGUGGAGGCCUUGCGUGCGGCAGGGUAAAACCGUCCGCGUGGAGUUCGAAGUUCGUUCGCCGUGCACUAUUCCGCAUGGCAGGCCAGCGUCGGUUUCGGACGUCGUAAAACGGCCGGGGAAAGGCGGCCCCCGCGGGGGUGUUUACAGACCCUGGUCAAUGCGGCGUGCGGAACCGAGGAAUGCGGCGGCGACCCUUCUGGGCUUGGACCUUUCCUUUGUGUGGCGGCGCGUGCGUUCCGAGCUUGCUCGGGCGUGGGUGACCGUUCGCUCAAUCAGGGGAGCGAUCCGUACUCACCGCCAAGGACGCUGGCGUAAUGGCUUCAAACGACCCGUCUUGAAACACGGACCAAGGAGUCUAACAUGUGUGCGAGUGUA